RNAcentral lists this ribosomal RNA (429 nucleotides) under Actinomycetes bacterium. Its description in RNAcentral is "Actinobacteria bacterium partial 16S ribosomal RNA". It matches the Rfam family "Bacterial small subunit ribosomal RNA", at positions 355 to 776 of the family's 1533-position model. Lineage: Bacteria; Bacillati; Actinomycetota; Actinomycetes. The record is from RNAcentral.
UAGGGAAUCUUCCGCAAUGGGCGAAAGCCUGACGGAGCAACGCCGCGUGAGUGAUGAAGGUCUUCGGAUCGUAAAACUCUGUUAUUAGGGAAGAACAAAUGUGUAAGUAACUAUGCACGUCUUGACGGUACCUAAUCAGAAAGCCACGGCUAACUACGUGCCAGCAGCCGCGGUAAUACGUAGGUGGCAAGCGUUAUCCGGAAUUAUUGGGCGUAAAGCGCGCGUAGGCGGUGUUUUAAGUCUGAUGUGAAAGCCCACGGCUCAACCGUGGAGGGUCAUUGGAAACUGGAAAACUUGAGAGCAGAAGAGGAAAGUGGAAUUCCAUGUGUGGCGGUGAAAUGCGCAGAGAUAUGGAGGAACACCAGUGGCGAAGGCGACUUUCUGGUCUGUAACUGACGCUGAUGUGCGAAAGCGUGGGGAUCAAACAGG